CGAAAACGAAUUCUCUCUUGAGUGGAUCCUGAGUACGACGGAGCACGUGAAAUUCCGUCGGAAUCUGGGAGGACCAUCUCCUAAGGCUAAAUACUCUCUAGUGACCGAUAGUGAACCAGUACCGUGAGGGAAAGGUGAAAAGUACCCCGGAAGGGGAGUGAAAGAGAACUUGAAACCGUGUGCUUACAAGUAGUCAGAGCCCGUUAAUGGGUGAUGGCGUGCCUUUUGUAGAAUGAACCGGCGAGUUACGAUCUGAUGCAAGGUUAAGCAGAAAAUGUGGAGCCGUAGCGAAAGCGAGUCUGAAUAGGGCGAAUGAGUAUUUGGUCGUAGACCCGAAACCAGGUGAUCUACCCUUGGUCAGGUUGAAGUUCAGGUAACACUGAAUGGAGGACCGAACCGACUUACGUUGAAAAGUGAGCGGAUGAACUGAGGGUAGCGGAGAAAUUCCAAUCGAACUUGGAGAUAGCUGGUUCUCUCCGAAAUAGCUUUAGGGCUAGCCUCAAGUGAUGAUUAUUGGAGGUAGAGCACUGUUUGGACGAGGGGCCCCUCUCGGGUUACCGAAUUCAGACAAACUCCGAAUGCCAAAUAAUUUAACUUGGGAGUCAGAAUGUGGGUGAUAAGGUCCAUAUUCGAAAGGGAAACAGCCCAGACCACCAGCUAAGGUCCCAAAAUAUAUGUUAAGUGGAAAAGGAUGUGGCGUUGCCCAGACAACUAGGAUGUUGGCUUAGAAGCAGCCAUCAUUUAAAGAGUGCGUAAUAGCUCACUAGUCGAGUGACACUGCGCCGAAAAUGUACCGGGGCUAAACAUAUUACCGAAGCUGUGGAUUGUCCUUUGGACAAUGGUAGGAGAGCGUUCUAAGGGCGUUGAAGCAUGAUCGCAAGGACAUGUGGAGCGCUUAGAAGUGAGAAUGCCGGUGUGAGUAGCGAAAGACGGGUGAGAAUCCCGUCCACCGAUUGACUAAGGUUUCCAGAGGAAGGCUCGUCCGCUCUGGGUUAGUCGGGUCCUAAGCUGAGGCCGACAGGCGUAGGCGAUGGAUAACAGGUUGAUAUUCCUGUACCACCAUUAUUCGUUUUAAGCGAUGGGGGGACGCAGUAGGAUAGGCGAAGCGUGCUGUUGGAGUGCACGUCCAAGCAGUGAGAUUGAGUGUUAGGCAAAUCCGGCACUCUUAAGAUUGAGCUGUGAUGGGGAGAGGAACUUGUUCCUCGAGUCGUUGAUUUCACACUGCCGAGAAAAGCCUCUAGCUAGAAUAACGGUGCCCGUACCGCAAACCGACACAGGUAGUCAAGAUGAGAAUUCUAAGGUGAGCGAGCGAACUCUCGUUAAGGAACUCGGCAAAAUGACCCCGUAACUUCGGGAGAAGGGGUGCUCUUUGAGGUUCACGCUUCGAAGAGCCGCAGUGAAUAGGCCCAAGCGACUGUUUAUCAAAAACACAGGUCUCUGCUAAACCGUAAGGUGACGUAUAGGGGCUGACGCCUGCCCG
This 1480-nucleotide ribosomal RNA is filed under the name Staphylococcus pseudintermedius. RNAcentral describes it as "partial 23S ribosomal RNA". It matches the Rfam family "Bacterial large subunit ribosomal RNA", at positions 380 to 1865 of the family's 2925-position model. The record is from RNAcentral. Lineage: Bacteria; Bacillati; Bacillota; Bacilli; Caryophanales; Staphylococcaceae.